AGAAGCAAUAAUGUUAAUAUGAGUAACAAGAAGACUCUUCUCCCUGCAUAAGUGUAUAUCAGAACGAAUGCGCACUGAUAAUUAACAAAUAUAAACAUAAUUAACUAAUCAACACUCCAAUACAAUUGUUAAUCCAACACAGGUAUGCAAUUAAGGACAAGAUUAAAAGAAGUAAAAGGAACUCGGC
RNAcentral lists this ribosomal RNA (187 nucleotides) under Myotis velifer (mouse-eared bat). Its description in RNAcentral is "partial 16S ribosomal RNA". Lineage: Eukaryota; Metazoa; Chordata; Mammalia; Chiroptera; Vespertilionidae. The record is from RNAcentral.